This 86-nucleotide transfer RNA is filed under the name Cupriavidus yeoncheonensis. Its description in RNAcentral is "tRNA-Cys". The record is from RNAcentral. Lineage: Bacteria; Pseudomonadati; Pseudomonadota; Betaproteobacteria; Burkholderiales; Burkholderiaceae.
GCCGGCGAUGGCCGGGUGCCACGGCAGGCGCGUUGCAAUCUCGCCGGCCAGUUCGCCCACCUCCGGGUUCCCGGCCUGCGCCGGCU